Molecule: ribosomal RNA, 462 nt
Filed under: Scolytus proximus
Lineage: Eukaryota; Metazoa; Arthropoda; Insecta; Coleoptera; Curculionidae
Description: partial 28S ribosomal RNA
Source: RNAcentral
AGAGUACGUGAAACCGUUUAGGGGUAAACCUGAGAAACCCGAAAAGUCGAAGGGAGAAAUUCAUCGCGGUUCGACGUCGGAGACGGGCGGAUGCGAGACGACGCGUUUUCGGACGCGACGCUUCGUCCGUUCGUCGAGUCGGCGACGAACGCGUGCACUUUUCUCCUGGUAGGACGUCGCGAUCCGUUGGGCGUCGGUCUACGGUCGACGGUGGAGACCGCGAGUCGUUUUUCGGAACGUACGCGCGGACCCGUCGCACCCGGCCGACUCGCUCGACGGUAUACGAACGGUUCGGGGCCGCUUUUAAAGCGUUCGGCUCGAGGCAAGCGCGCCGGAUGUACGUCGGCGAUCGGACCUAGUGCCGAUUCCGACCUCCGGUGACUGUUGGCCGCGAAGUUCUCGAACAGACUCCGCUCGAAUCAAAAACCGAUCGGCGACGCUAUAGCUUUGGGUACUUUCAGG